UUACCACUCUGGCCUUUUGGCUUAGAUCAAGUGUAGUAUCUGUUCUUAAUAGUUUAACCACUAUUAUGGAGGCACCGCCUCCAUUCUUGGUUAUCUAAUUUUUGCCGCCCCAGUUCUUUGGGCUCUGCUUGCACCCCUUGGACGCGAUGACCUUGCUGCUGCACUACUGGCUUGUGUCGUCGGGGGAUC
Molecule: small nuclear RNA, 189 nt
Organism: Laccaria bicolor S238N-H82
Lineage: Eukaryota; Fungi; Basidiomycota; Agaricomycetes; Agaricales; Hydnangiaceae
Rfam family: U2 spliceosomal RNA
About the family: U2 is a small nuclear RNA (snRNA) component of the spliceosome (involved in pre-mRNA splicing).
Source: Rfam